AACCUUUUCAUAUACACUUAAACUUAAAAUCUUGGGGGAAUCUUUGUUUACUUCUCCUUUGUGCACUCCCAUAUCCAGUUGGCCUUUUCUACCACUUUCUUGCAAGUCCCCCUUUCAUUCAUUCCUUCUUCUAGUAUCUUAGUUUAAGCACCAUAUGUAGGAUAUUUCAACAAUAGCCUGACUGCCUGAUCAGCUUCUUUAUUCUCUCCUUCACACUGGCACUAAAAUUUCUCUAACGUAUCAUAACACUCAUGUCACUUCCUCCAUAAAAGCUUCAAUGAUUCCUCAUUGGCAAAUGAAUAAAUUACAAAUGCCUUAAUUUGAUGCUUAUGGUCUAGACCCCCUGCUUCAGUCUUGUGCCAUCCUAUCUUUCAGCCAAUCAGAGUUGAUUGCCACCCUCAGGAAAACCUUUUCUUCCCAGGACUUAUAAACUUUUAAUCCAUCACCAUGAUUCUUCUUUUGCAUUUGAGAGUGUCAGUGACCCAUUUUGUUGGUUAUAUGCUAGUAUUAUUAAUUAAAACCAUUAAUUACUCAGGAAAAUAUAUCUCUGGAACUUUUUAAAUGACACAGAGCCCAAGAGAUCAUCUAGUGUAAUCCUUCAUUUUACAGAUGAGAAAACUGAGACUCAAAGACUUGUAAUAACUAGACUAAAUUGAGUUUUGGAGCCAACAGCACUGCACCAAAUUCUGACUAGAGUUCUUUCCAGUCUGCCAUUUGACCUCUCAAAUAGUCCAAAUGGCUUGACUCCAGCUUAAGUUUCAAAAAAACAUUCUAGUCCUCAUCCAGGUUUUCCCAUAUCUUGAUAGGUCAUAAGUGACAGGGCUUCUGACUCCAAGUCUAGAUCCUGUUUCAUUAAACUAUGUUUCAAGCCCCCUCUUGCUCCCACAUUCUGUGAGUCAAUUCCUUUUCCAAUGGGAGCCAUUUUCAACUUCUUUUAAACUAAAAGCAAACAGCUUAUUCCCAGCAUGGUGCUACCACAUUUUCCGAUAACUCUGGGGUGGCAUAUUUUAAUAUCAUUUAGUGAAAGGUUAUUUGUCAAUUUGCUUCAUUUCAGAUUUUACAUCUAGAAACCCCUAGAAACCAGUCUAUCAAAUCCUUGUAUUGAGGGUGAUCAGUUGAGGUUGUGACUGAUGGUGGUCUGAUCCCAGUUUUAAGAGUCCAUGAGGAUCUUAUCCAUCUAUCCAUUGGUUGAAGUUUGAACUAAAAUUGAAUCCAUAAGGAGUUGCCUCCCUUCUAAGAACUUUGGAAAUGGAUGCUCUCUGUUUUCUAUUGUAAGCCCUUUAUUCUUUCCAGGGCCAGUCAAUUUUCCUUGAUGACCCAAGACUUCACUUGGAGUCAGAACAUUCCUGUACUGAGUUUUCCCAGAGUGAUUCUGCCUUGUCUACCAGAUUUUUUUUCUUUUUGCUUCUCACACAGAAGUUUUUCAUUCCAUCCCCCUCUGUUGCUGAUUUGUAGUUUUCCCAAGCAAGAAGGUACUGGGGGAGAGGCUGCCCUGUUUUCUGUGAGAACUGAUUAGUGUCUUUUGAAGAAGGCAGUUGGCUACUACUGUGGAAGUAUUUUAGUGACUAAGGAGCGUGGGAAAAUAUCUCUUUGUUGGCAGAGGAAUGAACUUGUCAUGUAAACUAACUGAUAUAUCCAAGGAAAGGGACAGUAUUUCCUGCUGUUUGUUCCUUUCUAUUGAUGGGUGUAGGAGCUACAGGAAUGGAAAUAACCCAAGGUAAUCCUUAUACUUCCUUUAUAUGGAGGAUGUAAAGAAUUUACAGUUGGGUCUUUGCAAAGCUUCUGACACUUGCCACCCAGAGUGUCAGUAAAGAUGAGUUACCCUUCCUGGAAGAACUUUGAAUGAGAUGCAAAGAGACCCUGGGAACUUGACCAGUCAAACUUAGAAGUAUGAAGAGAAUGUUAGUGGGAGGAAGUGGAGGCCGUGAGUCAGCAUGAGUCAUUCUGUUCCAAUGAGAAUGAAGGCUGACUGAGAGGCAUCCUGUUCUCAAGGAGGUGGAGCAAUCAACUUCUCCCUGAAUAAAUGGGAGAUGACACAGGAAGCUGCAUGUCACAGUUGAUCGAAAAUGACAUAGACAUUGAAAAUCAGGAUUUUGGCCCACCUCUGAGCUCCCUGUUGAAUGGCGAUCACAAUCAGGAGAAAUGCAAAUGAAAAAUGAAAAAAAGUUCCUGGGAUUGGAUCUAAUGAACUUACACUAUAAAGUGGCUGUUGUGAGGAUCAAAUGAGACCAUAAUUGCAAAGCACGUAGCACGAUGCCUGGCACAUAAUAAAUCCUACAUUACUGACCGGGAGCCUGACAAACACAUGAUGGUCUUGGGAUGCUUCCUAGAAAUGAGAAUGUGAACAGAAAAGCAGGAAGGCCACAGAGAAUACAAGAAGACCCAAUGUAAGGGGAUAUAGAUUGCAUGAUAUGGGAAACCGUUUGUCACAACAAUAUAAUUUCACUGAAACCUUUGAAAGGACUUUUUUCUUUUUCUAAAUGUUAUACAAAGGAGGAUUUAUAAUACUCUGCCCACAUGCUUCUCCAAGGGAUAGAUGAAUUACAGAAGUUAUUUGGUCAUUUAGACAAUAAGAUCACAGCACCCAAUGCCAGCAUCAUCCAUGUCAUACAAUCAAUUCUGAAGUUCUAAAGAGAGACCUUAAGAGUGUCCUUGUAUCACUUUUUCUGACUACCUGGAAAUGCUGUGUGACUUCUCCAUAAAAGAGUCUUUUUGAGUUCUAUUUCAAGAUAUAAAUGAAAACUACACAGGAUAAAAAAGUAAGUUGUCCCAACUUUUUGAAAAUAAAGGGGGGGAAAAGUAAUUAUUUGAUUAAAAAAAUUAAAGUAUUGUUAUCCCUAUUUUAUAAGUGGGAAAACAAUUGCAGAGAGGCUAUAACUUGCCUCAUGGUUAUACAAUUAACGACAACUCCUCCUUCUCCUACAAUAAUAAUAAUAAUGAACAUUUUUACAGAGCAUACCAAGCAGUGUGCUAAUUGUUUUACAGUUAUUAUCGUAUUUGGUCCUCACGGCAACUUUAAGGAAUAGGUGCUAUUAUACUCCUCAUUUACUGAUGAGGAAACUGAGGCACGUAGAGGUUAAGUAACUUACUCGGGAUUACAUAGUACUAGGUAUCUGAGACUGAAUUUGAACCCAGGUCUUCUUGACUCCAGAUGUGUAGUACUCCACUGCAACUGGAUCACUCAAGAGGUAUUAACCUGAAUCCAACUCUUCCUGACUCCAGCUGCAGUACCUUAUCAAAUGUAACCAGGAGUUGGUCCAAUCCUGUACUGAGAAUCAGAGAUAAUAAUUGGACAUCCUAAAGGGUACAAACCAAAAGAAACCCACAUAGCUGACCAUCUUUGGAGAAUUUAUAGAAAGCUACAAACAAGAAUCAAGAGCAAAGGGGAAGAGGAGAUUACAGAGUCUAUAUGUAGAGAGAAUACCUCCAGGAACAAGAACCUGAAGCAACCCAAGUAUCAAAGUUAAUUAAAACUGAUGUAUUUCUAGUCUACAGAACACAAUCUACUCCCACAUUAUGAUUAAACUGGGCUUACCAAUCUGAUUCCAGUGUCGGUUGCUUAUUUGCUUCUUUUAUCUGUCCAAGCAUUUGACUUAAGUAAAUUCAGGUGUGAUCACAAACUGUAGGACAACACUGUUAUUGACAUUUCCCUGGAAGCCAUAAAAGGAGAAAGAUAACGUUCAAGCUUUCUUUACAAAUUUACCUCUUUCUUUCUUUCUUUUCUUUCUUUUUUUUUUUUUUUCAGAGAUCCCAUUGAGAAUCUUUUGAUUUGGAGUGAAUGUGUAUAACUAAAAUUUGAUAGUUUGAUUAGUUUGCUGUCAUGUAAAUGGUCAAUUUCUUCUGCUCCCUUCUAGUGGGAAAGACGCUGAUAAUGUCUGUUCAGUAAAUGUGUAAAAAACCUCAGACAAGCCAUUUUUAUUUAUGAAGUGGUUUCUGCUACUUGGGGCCAUUUGGUGACCAGACAUUGACCUUUGUCCUUUUACUGUGGGACAAUGGAGCAUAUUGUCAGGUGCUAUGGCACAGUUUGGGUGUGCAGACAUUCUGGGCUUUAAUUAUUGUGGAUAAACUUGAUGCCAAGUUUGGAAUAAAAUGCUGAUGGCUCAGUAACUUAGGCAACGAAUCAAUAGAGAGAGCUGCAUGUUUGGAGGCCAGGAAAGCCACAGUAUCUGUCCAUUCUUGUAUCUAAUUAAAGUCUGUGGAGGUGAACUUCUUAGGUUAGACACUCUCCUCGUUUAUUUGAAGGACUUGUUCUAACUAUAUUAACUGCUCUUACAUGUCACUUCAACAUAUUAAAAAUAACUUUUGCCCCUAUUUUCCCCCUUGGGACAUUUGGGCAAAUGAGCACAAAAAUAUAGGCAAGAUUUUUUGUGUUUAUGUUUAAUUUAUAAUUUUAGGUGGUGGCUCAACUAUAAUUUUUAAAACCUCCAGGAUAAAAUAGAUUUUAAAAAUAAAAGACUUUUUCUCAGGCCAUGAACUUCUGUCUUAUGUGUGUGUAUUGUCAAAUGCAGUCUGAAACCCAGUCUUGUAACUGUUUCAUUAUUAGCCUCAAGUUAUUGGAUUGUUUAUUGUUCCUCUUGAGAAGAUUGUGGUGUAUAGUGGAGCUGGCAGAAAUCCCUAAUAAUGGUUGGUUCUGAGGACAGCUCUAAGUAACUCUUCAUCAUUAUGCCAUCACCCAGUGGAACUCUGAUUGGAAAUGAACUUGUUAAACACAUAUACAUACACAGGGAGGGAAGGAGAGAGAGAAAGACAGAGAGAGACAGAGACACAGACACAGAGACACAGAAAGAGACACAGAGACAGAGAGAAACAGUAUGCUUAAUAAUCUGGGAAAGGCUGAAUGGAUAGUAGCCCAUGAACAGCAAAGAAUGUGGUUAUGAUUGUACCACAAUCUACCCUAAGAAAUGACAAAUAUGAAGACCACAACAAAAUUUGGGAAGUCUUUAGUGAAUUGGUAGUAUGCAUACUUAUUGAAAGUAUUUUUAAUAGUGUUUUAAUAAAACAGUAAUAAAAUGCUCCCAACACACAUAAAAGAAAAAAAAGAGAUUAGGAGACAUCAUUGUUAUUUUUUUUAAAUAGACAUGUUGAUUUGUUUAAAAUACAGUAUUAAAAAGCUUGAAAUCUCUGAUUUUCUGAGCCAUAAUUCUCUCCCCCCAUUUUCUUUAUUUGUGUGAUAGGGAAUUUUUUUAUAGUUCCUUAGAAAUUUUAGAAAUUCAGAAUAAAACUUGUUUGUAUUUUUUUUUUCCUAAUGGACCUGCAGCCAUCCACAAAUAUUGAUUUUCUUACCCCAAUGCCCCAAGGCUCCCUCAUUCUAGCCCCAAAUAAUGGGCCAUUCAUUACAAUAAUUCUUUCUCUAAACCCUAAAUGAUGGCUCCUCCAUUAUUGCUUCUAUCACUACUGGAGGGAGAGGAAUGUUGGAGAUUGGAGAGGGAUGUUGGAGACUGGACAGGAACAGAGAAGUUAAUAGUACCUAGCUGUCAUUGUUACUGUUCUAUUGGAGCCUGGUAUUGGAUUACAUUUUUAAGGGAUGCCUCUGGAUGGAGAAGUUUAUAUUUGGCCACCUUGACCCAGAGUAAGCAGGUACCUUCAAAUCACCCUAACUGAUGAAAGGAUUCUUUAUGUGAAGUUGUUAUUACUCUCACAUAUCAUACCUCUUUAAUUAGAUGAAUACAGAUAAUUUAUUGAGGAGCAGCAGCAGCAGCAGCAGUGUGCUGCUAUGGAGAUUUGGCUCAAAAAGACUUGUUUAGGGUGUUAACCCACAGCAUGCCUUUUGGAAAUAGUGUUUACACUUAACACUACUGUGGUUUUCUACCCACAGACCUAAAGAAACUCAGAGGAUGAGGAUGACUGAACUGUCACCAAACCAGGAUCUAAUUUUAAAGCUAAAUCUUUUUGUUAUACUUCUAAAGACAAGAUAUUUUCCUGAGCCUUUUAUUUUAAAAAAAUAGCUAGAUUUAGAUAUAUAAACGUGUGUGUG
Long non-coding RNA from Sarcophilus harrisii (Tasmanian devil), 5974 nucleotides. RefSeq lists it as uncharacterized. The transcript is spliced from 10 exons. Lineage: Eukaryota; Metazoa; Chordata; Mammalia; Dasyuromorphia; Dasyuridae. The record is from RefSeq and is a predicted model, not a curated record.